CCUUGUGGAAUAUAUAUUGGAACUGCACCCCUCAAAAUGUACAAACCGAUACCGGUGUUGGAUUAACCAGCGGCUACGGAUGGAUACGGUGAGACAAGGGAUCGGAAGUUUUGGAUACAACCAUGCAGAUAUUGAAGACAAGGUCCAAUGUCCGUCGCUCAUAAGAUCAACGUAAACGUGGAUUGUAUACUGUCAUUAGUCUCCGUUUGCGACCACUACCGACGAGUAUUGUAUUUUAAUGAAAUUCAUAGCAAAAAAAGAUAACAUUGUAUGCAAACUUAUGUCCUAGAUGAUGACAAAUCCUGCGUAUUUUGAGCCGUCGGUCAAAAUAACGUCCAGAUUUAAACUCAAAGUGAGACAUGUCAUAGCGCAACUCCAGCGAUCCCAGCGUACAAACAGGGAGCUUCUGAUGCUAUGUGUGGUAUGGUGAGCUUUCAA
Molecule: long non-coding RNA, 438 nt
Organism: Varroa destructor (honeybee mite)
Lineage: Eukaryota; Metazoa; Arthropoda; Arachnida; Mesostigmata; Varroidae
Source: RefSeq, a predicted model, not a curated record